UGUGAAUUGGCCUUAUAUUCCCUGCAUCCAGACCCUGUUUUCCUGCCUCACCACCAGGCCCCUCCUCCAACAGUGGGGAUUAUAAUUCGGCAUGAGAUUUGGGUGAAGACAAAGAGCCAAACAGUAUCAUAUGAUAUUGACAAUCUGUCUCUCUCUCUCUUUUUUUUUUUUUUUUUUGAGACAGGGAAUCACUCUCUGUCACCCAGUCUUGAGUGCAAUGGUAUGAUCACAGCUCACUGCAGCUUCGAGCUGCCGGACUCAAGCAAUCCUCCCAUCUCAGCCUCCUGAGCAGCAAGACUACAGGCAUGCACCACCACACCUGGCUAAAUAUUUAAUUUUUUAUAGAGACAAGACCUUGCUCUGUUGCCCAGGAUGGUCUCAAACUCCUAAGCUUAAGUGAUCCUACUGCCUUGGACUCCGAAGUACUAGGAUUACAGUGAUGCAUUCAAGGAAACAGCCUGGAUUUUGAAAGAGCAAUGGCAGUUGAAGUGAUUAAUUUUACCAGUCUUCCACUCUUGCUUAACAACGGUAAGAAUGGGAUGUCAAGUUACCACCUUUUAAAUGGCAAAUUCUCCAUGAGUAGUAAUUCAUUCUAUAAUUCUUGAUUAUGAAAGAGGUGGCCAAAUUGAUUUCCUUACACAGAAGGAACAGCUUAAAGUGUUUAGGCCUGGAGGAAAAAAUGACCACAGAAAAGGGAAGUGAGGGCUGAGAAUACAUCUCAUUGUAAAUCUCAGGAGUUUUUCUCUGUGGAGCAAGUCAGGUUUCUGUCCUUCACUCACCCUGAGGUCAAUUUAACCUCUCAUUUUUCAGUAAACCAUGUAGGUCCAGGGAAGUCCCUUCCCUGCAACUUUGGAGAAAGUUUUUUAAAAGCAUGAGGUGAUAAAGAAAUGAGGCUCCAAAGGCCAGGUGUAUAAACCACAGAAAUCUUUUAGGAAAUAAGAAAUGACUAUUCCUUAACAACACUAAAUUAUAUUACAAAGAAGUAUCGUGGUUCUAAGGAGUAAAUGUGAGUAGCUGCUUUCUUCCUCAUGCCUUCAGCAAGCUAGUU
RNAcentral lists this long non-coding RNA (1048 nucleotides) under Homo sapiens (human). RNAcentral's name for it is "HSALNT0081122". The record is from RNAcentral. Lineage: Eukaryota; Metazoa; Chordata; Mammalia; Primates; Hominidae.